UUUUCGGAGAGUUUGAUCCUGGCUCAGAGUGAACGCUGGCGGCGUGGAUUAGGCAUGCAAGUCGCGCGAUACUUAGUGAUGAGAGGUUGAAACCGCAAGGCGGAUGCCGAUUUGAUCUAGGAUAUAGCGGCAAACGGGUGAGUAACGCGUGAGUAACCUACCUCAAUACCGGGGAUAGCUUUGCGAAAGUAAGGGUAAUACCCGAUGUGUCUUUCCUGUAAUUGGGAAAAGGUAAAGCCUUAGCGUAAGCUAGGGUGUAUAGAGAUGGGCUCGCGUCCUAUCAGCUAGUUGGUAGGGUAAUGGCCUACCAAGGCGAUUGACGGGUAGCUGGUCUGAGAGGAUGGUCAGCCACACGGGGACUGAGAUACUGCCCCGACUCCUACGGGAGGCUGCAGUCGAGAAUCUUUAGCAAUGGACGAAAGUCUGACUAUGCGACGCCGCGUGAGGGAUGAAGGUUUUCGGAUCGUAAACCUCUUUCGAUGGGGAAGAAGUCCGCCAUUUAUCGUGGCGGAUUGACGGUACCUAGAGAAGAAGCCAUGGCCAACUCCGUGCCAGCAGCCGCGGUAAUACGGGGAUGGCGAGCGUUACUCGGAUUUACUGGGUGUAAAGGGCAGGUAGGCGGCCCUGAAAGUUGAAGGUGAAAUGCUUUGACUCAAUCAAAGAACUGCCUUCAAAACUACAGGGCUUGAGGAUUUGAGAGGAGAGCGGAAUUCCCGGUGUAAGGGUGAAAUCUGUAGAUAUCGGGAGGAACACCUGUGGCGAAAGCGGUUCUCUGGAUCGUAACUGACGCUGAAAUACGAAAGCUUGGGGAGCAAACAGGAUUAGAUACCCUGGUAGUCCAAGCCGUAAACGAUGGGCACUAGGUGUGGUACCGCAAGGUGCCGUGCCGCAGUUAACACGUUAAGUGCCCCACCUGGGGAGUACGGCG
Molecule: ribosomal RNA, 928 nt
Filed under: Candidatus Omnitrophota bacterium
Lineage: Bacteria; Pseudomonadati; Candidatus Omnitrophota
Description: bacterial SSU rRNA
Rfam family: Bacterial small subunit ribosomal RNA
Source: RNAcentral